UACGAAGGGGGCUAGCGUUGUUCGGAAUCACUGGGCGUAAAGCGCACGUAGGCGGACUUUUAAGUCAGGGGUGAAAGCCUGAGGCUCAACCUCAGAACUGCCCUUGAUACUGGGAGUCUUGAGUAUGGUAGAGGUUGGUGGAACAGCAAGUGUAGAGGUGAAGUUCGUAGAUAUUUGCUAGAACACCAGUGGCGAAGGCGGCCAACUGGACCAUAACUGACGCUGAGGUGCGAAAGCGUGGGGAGCAAACAGG
Molecule: ribosomal RNA, 253 nt
Filed under: uncultured bacterium
Lineage: Bacteria
Description: partial 16S ribosomal RNA
Rfam family: Bacterial small subunit ribosomal RNA
Source: RNAcentral